GGUAUGGGAUGAGCUUGCGUCCGAUUAGCUAGUUGGCGGGGCAACGGCCCACCAAGGCGACGAUCGGUAGCCGGCCUGAGAGGGUGAUCGGCCACAUUGGGACUGAGAUACGGCCCAGACUCCUACGGGAGGCAGCAGUAGGGAAUAUUGCACAAUGGGGGAAACCCUGAUGCAGCAACGCCACGUGUGGGAAGAAGCAUUUCGGUGUGUAAACCACUGUCGUGAGGGAAUAAGGCUGUUUUUCAGAACAGUUGAAUGUACCUCGAGAGGAAGCACCGGCAAACUUCGUGCCAGCAGCCGCGGUAAUACGAGGGGUGCAAGCGUUGUUCGGAAUCACUGGGCGUAAAGGGAGCGCAGGCGGAAGCUCAAGCGGAUUGUACAAUACCGGGGCCCAACCCCGGACCUGCAGUCCGAACUGGGUUUCUUGGAUAGUUCAGGGGCAGGC
This 445-nucleotide ribosomal RNA is filed under the name uncultured rumen bacterium. RNAcentral's name for it is "bacterial SSU rRNA". It matches the Rfam family "Bacterial small subunit ribosomal RNA", at positions 217 to 662 of the family's 1533-position model. The record is from RNAcentral.